This is a long non-coding RNA of Chinchilla lanigera (long-tailed chinchilla), 430 nucleotides long. RefSeq lists it as uncharacterized. Lineage: Eukaryota; Metazoa; Chordata; Mammalia; Rodentia; Chinchillidae. The record is from RefSeq and is a predicted model, not a curated record. The transcript is spliced from 3 exons.
UCUGCCCCCACUUUAAGCGCCUCCGCUCACGAGCGCAGCACGUGGAACUCGCCAGCAAUCUAAGUCUGCAACGUGUGUGGAGCAAGGGAGCACCACUUCCUUAGUCCAGACCUUUACCAGAUUGUCGUUGGGACAAUACAAAUCUCAUGACUUUCUCUCCACUAAAUGGCAUCUUGCAUACAACCAGCUUCCAGGUGAUGAACCCUCGAGUUUCCCCUUGCUAAAGGAUCUCCUCUGUCUGGGUCUACUCCUCUGUAAGACAUCUCCACGCUGCCGGGACUCUACCUUCCAGAUCUCCCUGCCCCUGCACUGGACUCCAGCACAGAGGAGAAAUAGCUUACUCCCUAUUGAAAUGCACCUCACACGCUCUCAUUGUUCUUUCUCUGCUAUCCUGAAGAGGACCUGGGGCAGAAGCUCAAGGGAAAAGUGG